RNAcentral lists this long non-coding RNA (2052 nucleotides) under Oncorhynchus kisutch (coho salmon). Its description in RNAcentral is "lncRNA (ENSOKIG00005002232.1)". Lineage: Eukaryota; Metazoa; Chordata; Actinopteri; Salmoniformes; Salmonidae. The record is from RNAcentral.
CGCCUCCUACACAUACAUACACACACACCUCCUACACAUACAUACACACACGCCUCCUACACAUACAUACACACAGCCUACACAUACAUACACACACGCCUCCUACACAUACAUACACACACGCCUCCUACACAUACAUACACACAGCCUACACAUGCAUACACACAUGCCUCCUACACAUACAUACACACACGCCUCCUUCAGAGCGCACGACGAGACGUGGCCGGUAGCAGUCAGUCAAACGAGGGUAAUAUCCCGUGUGAGCCAGCGCACGGGCAUACAGAGCGAGAGGAGGGCACCCGUCCCGGACACUUUACAUUAGGCUGGCUGCCUCCUGUGUUACAAAUUCAUAUAUGAAGAAAAGCAAUCAGGUGGUCCUGAAUGGAAAUUUGUAGAAUUUCUUUACAACUGCGAAAAGGCGAAUAUAAAACGAGAGUACUGGUGAGACAGACGGUUGUGAGGCUGAGGCAGGCUGUGAUGCAUGGAGGAGGAGGCAGAGGAGACAGAGAGAGACAGGUUAGUACAGUGGUUUUUAUUUUUUUUAUUUCACCUUUAUUUAACCAGGUAGGCUAGUUGAGAACAAGUUCUCAUUUGCAACUGCGACCUGGCCAAGAUAAAGCAUAGCAGUGUGAGCAUACAACAAAGAGUUACACAUGGAGUAAACAAUUAACAAGUCAAUAACACAGUAGAAAACAAAGGGGGGGUCUAUAUACAAUGUGUGCAAAAGGCAUGAGGAGGUAGGCAAAUAAUUACAAUUUUGCAGAUUAACACUGGAGUGAUAAAUGAUCAGAUGGUCAUGUACAGGUAGAGAUAUUGGUGUGCAAAAGAGCAAAAAAGUAAAUAAAUAAAAACAGUAUGGGGAUGAGGUAGGUGAAAAUGGGUGGGCUAUUUACCAAUAGACUAUGUACAGCUGCAGCGAUCGGUUAGCUGCUCAGAUAGCUGAUGUUUGAAGUUGGUGAGGGAGAUAAAAGUCUCCAACUUCAGCGAUUUUUGCAAUUCGUUCCAGUCACAGGCAGCAGAGUACUGGAACGAAAGGCGGCCAAAUGAGGUGUUGGCUUUAGGGAUGAUCAGUGAGAUACACCUGCUGGAGCGCGUGCUACGGGUGGGUGUUGCCAUCGUGACCAGUGAGCUGAGAUAAGGCGGAGCUUUACCUAGCAUGGACUUGUAGAUGACCUGAGCCAGUGGGUCUGGAGACGAAUAUGUAGCGAGGGCCAGCCGACUAGAGCAUACAAGUCACAGUGGUGGGUGGUAUAAGGUGCUUUAGUGACAAAACGGAUGGCACUGUGAUAGACUGCAUCCAGUUUGCUGAGUAGAGUGUUGGAAGCCAUUUUGUAGAUGACAUCGCCGAAGUCGAGGAUCGGUAGGAUAGUCAGUUUUACUAGGGUAAGCUUGGCGGCGUGAGUGAAGGAGGCUUUGUUGCGGAAUAGAAAGCCAACUCGUUUAAGAGCAGUUGGAGGCCACGGAAGGAGUGUUGUAUGGCAUUGAAGCUUGUUUGGAGGUUAGAUAGCACAGUGUCCAAAGACGGGCCGAAAGUAUAUAGAAUGGUGUCGUCUGCGUAGAGGUGGAUCAGGGAAUCGCCCGCAGCAAGAGCAACAUCAUUGAUAUACACAGAGAAAAGAGUCGGCCCGAGAAUUGAACCCUGUGGCACCUCCAUAGAGACUGCCAGAGGACCGGACAGCAUGCCCUCCGAUUUGACACACUGAACUCUGUCUGCAAAGUAAUUGGUGAACCAGGCAAGGCAGUCAUCCGAAAAACCGAGGCUACUGAGUCUGCCGAUAAGAAUAUGGUGAUUGACAGAGUCGAAAGCCUUGGCAAGGUCGAUGAAGACGGCUGCACAGUACUGUCUUUUAUCGAUGGCGGUUAUGAUAUCGUUUAGUACCUUGAGUGUGGCUGAGGUGCACCCAUGACCGGCUCGGAAACCGGAUUGCACAGCGGAGAAGGUACGGUGGGAUUCGAGAUGGUCAGUGACCUGUUUGUUGACUUGGCUUUCGAAGACCUUAGAUAGGCAGGGCAGGAUGGAUAUAGGUCUGUAACAGUUUGGGUCCAGGGUGU